This 244-nucleotide transfer-messenger RNA is filed under the name Clostridiales bacterium. RNAcentral's name for it is "partial transfer-messenger RNA". It matches the Rfam family "transfer-messenger RNA", at positions 1 to 257 of the family's 374-position model. Rfam says of the family: Bacterial tmRNA, also known as 10Sa RNA or SsrA, is named for its dual tRNA and mRNA-like properties. Its role is to liberate the mRNA from a stalled ribosome. The record is from RNAcentral. Lineage: Bacteria; Bacillati; Bacillota; Clostridia; Eubacteriales.
GGGGGCGUAAUGGUUUCGACGGGGAUUCUGAGAUACGGUAAGCGGGUAGAGCCGGGUAACUCUUAAACUGCCCAAACAAAUUAAACGCGAACGAUAAAGUCGCACUGGCCGCGUAAGCGGUGCCGCUGCCAUAAGGCAGCCCGUUCCUCCCGGGAGUACCGCGGCCCGGGAAUGAACGUCAGCGAGCGGUGAACGUGAUUCCGGAAGGCCGUCGGCCGGAAUCAUGUACAAGACGGCUUACCGC